UUGGAGAGUUUGAUCCUGGCUCAGGACNNNNNNNNNNACGCUGGCGGCGUGCUUAACACAUGCAAGUCGAACGAAGAGCGAUGGAAGCUUGCUUCUAUCAAUCUUAGUGGCGAACGGGUGAGUAACGCGUAAUCAACCUGCCCUUCAGAGGGGGACAACAGUUGGAAACGACUGCUAAUACCGCAUACGAUCCAAUCUCGGCAUCGAGACUGGAUGAAAGGUGGCCUCUAUUUAUAAGCUAUCACUGAAGGAGGGGAUUGCGUCUGAUUAGCUAGUUGGAGGGGUAACGGCCCACCAAGGCGAUGAUCAGUAGCCGGUCUGAGAGGAUGAA
Molecule: ribosomal RNA, 331 nt
Filed under: Veillonella sp.
Lineage: Bacteria; Bacillati; Bacillota; Negativicutes; Veillonellales; Veillonellaceae
Description: partial 16S ribosomal RNA
Rfam family: Bacterial small subunit ribosomal RNA
Source: RNAcentral